This 253-nucleotide ribosomal RNA is filed under the name uncultured bacterium. Its description in RNAcentral is "partial 16S ribosomal RNA". It matches the Rfam family "Bacterial small subunit ribosomal RNA", at positions 524 to 776 of the family's 1533-position model. The record is from RNAcentral.
UACGAAGGGGGCUAGCGUUGUUCGGAAUUACUGGGCGUAAAGCGCACGUAGGCGGAUUGAUCAGUUAGAGGUGAAAUCCCGGGGCUCAACCCCGGAACUGCCUUUAAUACUGUCAAUCUAGAGAUCUAGAGAGGUGAGUGGAAUUCCGAGUGUAGAGGUGAAAUUCGUAGAUAUUCGGAGGAACACCAGUGGCGAAGGCGGCUCACUGGCUAGAUACUGACGCUGAGGUGCGAAAGCGUGGGGAGCAAACAGG